Pelobates cultripes (western spadefoot toad) is the source of this 1974-nucleotide non-coding RNA. Lineage: Eukaryota; Metazoa; Chordata; Amphibia; Anura; Pelobatidae. The record is from the annotation of a GenBank genome assembly.
CUAGCAAACAAUUACUUUACAGAAUAAUCAUAAUAUAAAAAUCAUUAAGAUUUAACAUCACAUUAAGGCACAACAUAUUCAUGUAUGACUAAUUUCUAUUUCCUCUUCGAUUACAUACUACAAAAAGAUUGUAUACGUCACACUUUCCAAUAAUAAUAAAAGUACUUAUUUUCCUCAAGUUAAGGUGCUUUUUACAAAGACAGUGUUCUGUGUAUUUGCAAUAGAAUCCACAAUGCAACAUAUUGUACAGAAACAAAUGUUGAAUAAAUUACAGCAGUAAAGUUCAGUCAAUGAAACAUCCAUGCUUGAAGCCUGCAAUUUCCUAGCUCUAGCCUAAGAAAUAGCAAAUAAAAUGUUUUUUUCGCUAAACUGGGAAUUGGGCCUAAAAAUUGUAGAUACCCUGCAAAUUUUCUACAUGUCCCAAAUUAGUGAGUAAACAUUACUUAACAUACUAUACGGUACUUAACUUUGGGAGGGUUUCAGGACACUCCUGACACCAUAACCACUACAGCAGGAUGUAGUAGUUAUGUUGCUUAGAUUGUUUCUUUAAGGAAAAUACAGGUAAUAAGCCUUAUCAUUUAGAAAUCAAGUGCAAUAAAGUAAUGCAGUCAUGGUUAUGGUUAUAAUCCAGCCCACUAAUGAAAAAAAAAAAUAAUUGUCAUUCUACUCUGGCCAGUGAUAUGGUUUCAGAAUUGGCUGCACUUAUAACUAUAACAUGUUAAUUUGUCUAACUAACCAUGGCCUUCAUUUAAUAAGCUUUCCAAAUGAUUCAGUAUGGCUAGGAAAUAUUUCUAAAUGAUUUAUCUACAAAACUCCCCAAAGACUGUAAUGGCGACUUUUGUUGAUAAAUCAUUUAGAAUGUUUUUCUAAUGGCAUCAGUGGCGUCGCUGGGGGUGGAGAGGGCAGAGGGGGGCCAUGGCCCCACGCACAUCAUGUUGUGCCCUCCCAAUUAAAAUUGAAGUCGAGAGCAAUGAGUCUCCCUUCGGCCAGAGGGGGCACUGUGCUGGGAGGACUUCUUUCUGGGUCACACAGAGCAGCGCAGGGGAGAGACAGGGAGAGGAAGCCCAGCUCUGCACAGAGUCAUCCAGGCAGCUGCCGGUAAGUGUAAGUCAGUGUGUGUGUGGUUCAGGCAGCUGCUGGUAAGUGUAAGUCAGUGUGUGUGUGUGUGGAGAGGGGGGGAUGGUGUGAGGUCAGUCUGAGUGUGUGUGUGUGUGUGUGUGUAUGGGUCAGUCUGUGUGGGGUGGGGCUCAGUCUGUGUGUGUAUGAGUGUGGAGGUGGGUCGUUCAGUCUGUGUGUGGGUCAGUUUGUGUGAAUUUGUCAGUCUGUGUGGGGUGGGUCAGUCUGUGUGUGUGUAUGGGUCAGUCUGUGUGUGUGGGUGGGUGGGUCAGUUUGUGUGUGUGUGGGGGUCAGUCUGUGUGUGUGUAUGCAUCAGUCUACGUGUCUAUAUGGAUCAGUCUGUGUGUGGGGGCAGUCUGUGUGUGUGUGUGUGUGUGUAUGGGUCAGUCUAUGUGUGUGUGUGUGUGUGUGUGUGUGUAUGGGUCAGUGUGUGUGUGUGUGUGUGUGUGUAUGGGUCAGUCUGUGGGUUCGUAUGAGUCAGUCUGUGUAACUGCUAGAGCUCCAAGAGAAAUCAUUUUGUGACUCCCUUGUACCCGAUGGAUAGGCAGCCUUCUCAACCAGCACAUAUCUGAUUGUGUCAUCCCUUCCCUGCAAGGUAAGAUAGGUAAAGGGGAAUAUAUUAAUCUUUUUUUUUUUACAUAAUUAUCAAAGUAAAAAUUGUAAAGGUCUUCCCUAUCCCACUUUCUAAACCCCAUAAACACAGUACACACUCACAUACAUUAAACCCCCACAUACAGUACACUCCCAUCAACAGAGUACACCUUUGCAUACACACACAGUGCACCCCUCACACACAUCUCUUCCCUACAUACCUUCACCCCCACACACACAUGCAUACAUACAUAUAUGCUUCACCCC